CUGCCCCUGCGUUGUUGGUGUCUUAGAUAGAUUUUUUUAACCAACAGAUAAGUAUAGGGAGCUCUGCACUGGGGAUGGUGUGCAGGCCCUGCUCUGACAGGGAAGCCUAAAGUCCCCAUCAAGGCGCCCACCUAGUUAGUCCAGGUUAAAAACGAUUUGUCUACACGGCAAAAGCGGGGGCUGA
This 184-nucleotide non-coding RNA is filed under the name Nitrospirota bacterium. Its description in RNAcentral is "Nitrospirae bacterium (groundwater metagenome) 6S RNA". It matches the Rfam family "6S / SsrS RNA". Rfam says of the family: E. coli 6S RNA was the first non coding RNA to be sequenced, but its function was unknown until recently. It consists of 184 nucleotides that fold into an extended hairpin structure with a large single-stranded internal bulge. The record is from RNAcentral. Lineage: Bacteria; Pseudomonadati; Nitrospirota.